UUAAUAAAUAAGUUGAUUCGAGAUUGAUCCUGUCUUAAUUUAUAAUUUAUUUAUUAUUAAUUUGUUUAUAAAUAAUAUUAAAUACAAGUUUUUGCGUGUUGUUUUAUUGUCUUAAUGAUUUAUUUUGUUUAUUUGUAGUUUUUUAUUUUGAAUAUCAAAUAUUUUUGGGUUCAGUUAAUUUAUUU
RNAcentral lists this ribosomal RNA (185 nucleotides) under Placophyllopus cothurnatus. RNAcentral's name for it is "partial small subunit ribosomal RNA". Lineage: Eukaryota; Metazoa; Arthropoda; Insecta; Hemiptera; Coreidae. The record is from RNAcentral.